RNAcentral lists this long non-coding RNA (1302 nucleotides) under Homo sapiens (human). RNAcentral's name for it is "novel transcript, antisense to CTNNA2". The record is from RNAcentral. Lineage: Eukaryota; Metazoa; Chordata; Mammalia; Primates; Hominidae.
AGUGUGAUACUGACCAGACAAGGGCAUUGUCCCCACUCAGAAAUGCUCCAAAAGAACUAAGGAGAAGGAUUAGAGGAGACAAAAUGUUUUUGCUAAAUUCUUGCACUGAAGCCAGAGUUGCUCAGGAAAUAACAGCUCAGUUUGUUAGCUCUGAUCUCUAAUUCCAUCCCAAAUUCAUAACGUUAUUUUUUUUGUUUGUUUCCAUUGUUCAUUUGUUGUGUGCCUCUUAGGAUGUCCCUUUCCAUCUGGGCCUCAAUGACCUUCCCUGGGAAAUGGGGUACUUGUACUUAACCAUACCCCUGCUUCUAAAGACAAACUGGGAAAAUUAAAUGGAAAUUCUAAAAGAAAGCUUCAUCUUUUAGUUCCUUAGAGAACUAGCAUUACAGUUGAUUACCUAGGUGAUGAUUCAAGCUAUUCAACCCUUGUCAUUCUGAAUGUACUUCUCUUCCAGCUUGCCUUGGAAAGAAAAUCAGCCAGUUAAAGAAAGCAUCAGCUGGAACUCUCUCAGCUCUCAGUGACUGCAGAGUGAACUAUGGCAUUCAGCAUAGAAAAUGUUCUUCCAGUGCUCCAAUAAAUAGCAUUCAGUUUUUAGCCCCAGGGAAUUCAGUGUAGCCCUGGUUACUCCUCACUGCCACAGCCAACACUGCUUCCUUGGGUAGGAGAAAUGAUUUAUGGAGGUGAGCAGCCAUUCCAAACUUUAAUUAAGCACGUAAAGAACCAUCAAUUUUUUAAAGGGCACCAACCCAGAAAGAUGAGAGCUGAACUCCUGUAGAACAUAAUUACCUUUCCAACAUUUUAUCUGAUCUCCUUGUUUUACUUCUCUAAGAUGAGCUGAACAACAGCCAAUCAACCACCCCCACAGGCCACCCUUGGACCAUGACAUACAGGGCAUCUGACUGAUAGUCCCACCAAGACUGCCUAUGAUCAUAAAUGUCCAGCUGUUUGGGCAGACAGCAGUCAAGGCUGUGCUGUGGUGCAGUUUACUCCUGCAGAGAAAGAUGUGCCUAAAAGAGAAGCAGCACCUACCUGGAAGACUCAGGAGACAAAGAGGGAAAGAAAUGAAUCCCCAAGAUUUCCUGGGCUGAGCCUAACAGGAUAUGAGAAGCAGAAACUUCUGGAUUGUGAGAAGAAACAAAGGAAGAAGAGAGAUGCUCUAUAGGAGAAAAAUCACAGACAAUAAGUGGGGAGAGCAAGAAGACAAAGUUUUGUUACUUUAAUUCACCACUCCUAUCCCCAGCCACCAGUGGCCAUCCUGUACUGGAUUCUAAACCCAGGGCCCUAAAUAAAGUUUAUAGCAGGUGA